This is a long non-coding RNA of Balaenoptera musculus (blue whale), 264 nucleotides long. RefSeq lists it as uncharacterized. NCBI's taxonomy places the organism in Eukaryota, Metazoa, Chordata, Mammalia, Artiodactyla, Balaenopteridae. The transcript has 3 exons. The record is from RefSeq and is a predicted model, not a curated record.
UCACAAGACCUAAGUUAGCAUGCAGGAGGUUUAUUACGGCGUGUUCUUUGGAGCAACACUGUAGAAGGUACUUCGCUUUCAAAUGUGGUUACUUAUCUACCAGAAUCUAACUGAUGAAGACUUCCUUAUUUACCCUCACUGGAGAAUGAGGAUUAUUCUUGCCUUGAGUUCUUGGAUUGACUGCCCCUGAUCUUUGUCCAGAGGCUCUUCAAAGGUCAGUGUGUCAUUGAGAUGGUCACUGGUUUCUUGAAGCAUCUUCAGGCC